Molecule: ribosomal RNA, 305 nt
Filed under: uncultured bacterium
Lineage: Bacteria
Description: bacterial SSU rRNA
Rfam family: Bacterial small subunit ribosomal RNA
Source: RNAcentral
CCUACGGGGGGCAGCAGUGGGGAAUAUUGCACAAUGGGCGGAAGCCUGAUGCAGCAACGCCGCGUGAAGGAAGACGGUUUUCGGAUUAUAAACUUCUAUCAAUAGGGAAGAAAGAAAUGACGGCACCUAAAUAAGAAGCCCCGGCUAACUACGUGCCAGCAGCCGCGGUAAUACGUAGGGGGCAAGCGUUAUCCGGAAUUACUGGGUGUAAAGGGAGAGUAGGCGGCAAGGUAAGCGAUAUGUGAAAGCCUUAAGCUUAACUUAAGGAUUGCAUAACGAACUAUCUAGCUAGAGUACAGGAGAGG